CAUAGUGAUCCGGUGGUUCUGAAUGGAAGGGCCAUCGCUCAACGGAUAAAAGGUACUCCGGGGAUAACAGGCUGAUACCGCCCAAGAGUUCAUAUCGACGGCGGUGUUUGGCACCUCGAUGUCGGCUCAUCACAUCCUGGGGCUGAAGUAGGUCCCAAGGGUAUGGCUGUUCGCCAUUUAAAGUGGUACGCGAGCUGGGUUUAGAACGUCGUGAGACAGUUCGGUCCCUAUCUGCCGUGGGCGCUGGAGAACUGAGGGGGGCUGCUCCUAGUACGAGAGGACCGGAGUGGACGCAUCACUGGUGUUCGGGUUGUCAUGCCAAUGGCACUGCCCGGUAGCUAAAUGCGGAAGAGAUAAGUGCUGAAAGCAUCUAAGCACGAAACUUGCCCCGAGAUGAGUUCUCCCUGACCCUUUAAGGGUCCUGAAGGAACGUUGAAGACGACGACGUUGAUAGGCCGGGUGUGUAAGCGCAGCGAUGCGUUGAGCUAACCGGUACUAAUGAACCGUGAGGCUUAACCUUACAACGCCGAAG
This 532-nucleotide ribosomal RNA is filed under the name Shigella flexneri. RNAcentral describes it as "partial 23S ribosomal RNA". It matches the Rfam family "Bacterial large subunit ribosomal RNA", at positions 2411 to 2925 of the family's 2925-position model. Lineage: Bacteria; Pseudomonadati; Pseudomonadota; Gammaproteobacteria; Enterobacterales; Enterobacteriaceae. The record is from RNAcentral.